RNAcentral lists this ribosomal RNA (2889 nucleotides) under Mycetohabitans rhizoxinica HKI 454. RNAcentral describes it as "bacterial LSU rRNA". It matches the Rfam family "Bacterial large subunit ribosomal RNA". The record is from RNAcentral. Lineage: Bacteria; Pseudomonadati; Pseudomonadota; Betaproteobacteria; Burkholderiales; Burkholderiaceae.
GGUCAAGCGAACAAGUGCAUGUGGUGGAUGCCUUGGCGAUCACAGGCGAAGAAGGACGCGGUAGCCUGCGAAAAGCUGCGGGGAGCUGGCAAACGAGCUUUGAUCCGCAGAUGUCCGAAUGGGGCAACCCGGCCCGUAUGGGUCAUCGGUGACUGAAUCCAUAGGUCACGCGAAGCGAACGCGGCGAACUGAAACAUCUAAGUAGCCGCAGGAAGAGAAAUCAACCGAGAUUCCCAAAGUAGUGGCGAGCGAAAUGGGAUGAGCCUGUACAAUUUAGCAUCGCGGCUAGCCGAACGCUCUGGAAAGGGCGGCCGUAGCAGGUGAUAGCCCUGUAGGCGAAAGCCGUGGUGUGGAACUAGGGGUACGACAAGUAGGGCGGGACACGUGAAAUCCUGUCUGAAGAUGGGGGGACCAUCCUCCAAGGCUAAAUACUCGUGAUCGACCGAUAGUGAACCAGUACCGUGAGGGAAAGGCGAAAAGAACCCCGGGAGGGGAGUGAAAUAGAUCCUGAAACCGCAUGCAUACAAACAGUCGGAGCCUCGCAAGGGGUGACGGCGUACCUUUUGUAUAAUGGGUCAGCGACUUACGUUCAGUAGCAAGCUUAACCGGAUAGGGCAGGCGUAGCGAAAGCGAGUCCGAAUAGGGCGAUCAGUUGCUGGGCGUAGACCCGAAACCAAGUGAUCUAUCCAUGGCCAGGUUGAAGGUGCGGUAACACGUACUGGAGGACCGAACCCACUAACGUUGAAAAGUUAGGGGAUGAGCUGUGGAUAGGGGUGAAAGGCUAAACAAACUUGGAAAUAGCUGGUUCUCUCCGAAAACUAUUUAGGUAGUGCCUCGUGUGUCACCUUCGGGGGUAGAGCACUGUCAUGGUUGAGGGGUCCAUUGCGGAUUACCUCGCCAUAGCAAACUCCGAAUACCGAAGAGUGCAAUCACGGGAGACAGACGCCGGGUGCUAACGUCCGACGUCAAGAGGGAAACAACCCAGACCGCCAGCUAAGGUCCCUAAAAUUGGCUAAGUGGGAAACGAAGUGGGAAGGCUAAAACAGUCAGGAGGUUGGCUUAGAAGCAGCCACCCUUUAAAGAAAGCGUAAUAGCUCACUGAUCGAGUCGUCCUGCGCGGAAGAUGUAACGGGGCUAAGCCAGUUACCGAAGCUGCGGAUGCGCGCGUUAAGUGCGCAUGGUAGGAGAGCGUUCCGUAAGCCUGUGAAGGUGCAUUGAGAAGUGUGCUGGAGGUAUCGGAAGUGCGAAUGCUGACAUGAGUAGCGAUAAAGGGGGUGAAAGGCCCCCUCGCCGUAAGCCCAAGGUUUCCUACGCAACGUUCAUCGGCGUAGGGUGAGUCGGCCCCUAAGGCGAGGCAGAAAUGCGUAGCUGAUGGGAAGCAGGUUAAUAUUCCUGCACCGUCGUUAGAUGCGAUGGGGGGACGGAUCGCGGAAGGUUGUCCGGGUGUCGGAAAUCCCGGUCCCUGCAUUGGAGAAGGCGCUUUGGCAAAUCCGGGCGCGCAAUUCAAGGGUGUGGGGCGAGCGGCCUAGUGCUGCGAAGCAAUCGGAAGGGGUCCCAAGAAAAGCCUCUAAGCUUCAGUCUAACGAGACCGUACCGCAAACCGACACAGGUGGGCGAGAUGAGUAUUCUAAGGCGCUUGAGAGAACUCGGGAGAAGGAACUCGGCAAAUUGGUACCGUAACUUCGGGAUAAGGUACGCCCUGUUAGCUUGACUGGCCUGCGCCAGGAGGGUGAAGGGGUUGCAAUGAACUGGUGGCUGCGACUGUUUAAUAAAAACACAGCACUCUGCAAACACGAAAGUGGACGUAUAGGGUGUGACGCCUGCCCGGUGCCGGAAGAUUAAAUGAUGGGGUGCAAGCUCUUGAUUGAAGUCCCGGUAAACGGCGGCCGUAACUAUAACGGUCCUAAGGUAGCGAAAUUCCUUGUCGGGUAAGUUCCGACCUGCACGAAUGGCGUAACGAUGGCCACACUGUCUCCUCCCGAGGACUCAGCGAAGUUGAAGUGUUUGUGAUGAUGCAAUCUACCCGCGGCUAGACGGAAAGACCCCAUGAACCUUUACUGUAGCUUUGCAUUGGACUUUGAACCGAUCUGUGUAGGAUAGGUGGGAGGCUUUGAAGCGCGAACGCUAGUUUGCGUGGAGCCGUCCUUGAAAUACCACCCUGGUUUGUUUGAGGUUCUAACCUAGUGCCCUGAAUCGGGCUCGGGGACCGUGCAUGGUAGGCAGUUUGACUGGGGCGGUCUCCUCCCAAAGCGUAACGGAGGAGUACGAAGGUACGCUAGGUACGGUCGGAAAUCGUGCUGAUAGUGCAAUGGCAUAAGCGUGCUUAACUGCGAGACCGACAAGUCGAGCAGGUGCGAAAGCAGGUCAUAGUGAUCCGGUGGUUCUGUAUGGAAGGGCCAUCGCUCAACGGAUAAAAGGUACUCUGGGGAUAACAGGCUGAUACCGCCCAAGAGUUCAUAUCGACGGCGGUGUUUGGCACCUCGAUGUCGGCUUCAUCUCAUCCUGGGGCUGUAGCCGGUCCCAAGGGUAUGGCUGUUCGCCAUUUAAAAGAGGUACGUGAGCUGGGUUUUAAAACGUCGUGAGACAGUUUGGUCCCUAUCUGCCGUGGGCGUUGGAAGUUUGAGGGGGCCUGCUCCUAGUACGAGAGGACCGGAGUGGACGAACCUCUGGUGUACCGGUUGUCACGCCAGUGGCAUCGCCGGGUAGCUAUGUUCGGAAGAGAUAACCGCUGAAAGCAUCUAAGCGGGAAACUCGCCUCAAGAUGAGACUUCCCCGGGGACUCGAUCCCCUUGAAGGGUCGUUCAAGACCAGGACGUUGAUAGGUCGGGUGUGGAAGCGCAGUAAUGCGUUAAGCUAACCGAUACUAAUUGCCCGUAAGGCUUGAUCCUA